This is an RNA transcript of Morone saxatilis (striped sea-bass), 731 nucleotides long. It is a transcript of the gene named cytochrome c oxidase subunit 7A2, mitochondrial, with no coding region annotated. The transcript has 4 exons. Lineage: Eukaryota; Metazoa; Chordata; Actinopteri; Moronidae. The record is from RefSeq and is a predicted model, not a curated record.
UACCUCCUAGCUAGACACAACAGAAGUUUGCCAAAAUGUACAGACAGCUCAUGGGACUUCAGCAGCUUUCCAGGCGGACCAUCACCAGCAGUGCCCGCAGACAGAUUGAUAACACUGUGAAGGACAAACAGAAACUGUUUCAGGUUCUGGAGACAGAAUCUAAUUUGUAGCCGCACAGAUAAGUAUCAGUGGAUUUCCACCCUAUAAUGUUUAAAUGACCUUCAGCUGUAGCUGAGGCUGGAGUUAUACUAAUUACGCUUGCAAGCUGCUAAUUAAAAAUCCAUUACAUAAUCAACGUUCCAAUGUGGCAGGCUUUGCUGAUCCUUGCAUAGCGCUAGAAAUUACUGUAGCCAUAGUUGACAAACGGCCUACCCUCGCUUCUAAAUGCCAGAGCAAGCACUGCUUCUUUGCAUUGUGUAUUGUACGCCACCACUUAAUUGCUAUGGUGGUUAACCAAAGAUGGGCGCUACAAGAAUAUAUUGAAUACCCUAGAAACAGAAACACGUGAAGUUAAAAGUCCUUCAUGAACGUUUGAAGUAGGCUAACUGUUUUUAUAACUUCAUUGUUUGCUCUUUGGCCAGGCGGACAACGGUACGCCUAUCCAUCUGAAGGGCGGGUCAAAGGACGCUGUGCUCUACAGAAUCACAAUGGCUCUAACUGUGUUCGGGAGUGGAUAUGUUGUGUAUGAGCUGUUUAGUGCGGCAAUGCCCAAGAAGUGACGCACGGGAUUG